Molecule: ribosomal RNA, 440 nt
Filed under: uncultured bacterium
Lineage: Bacteria
Description: partial 16S ribosomal RNA
Rfam family: Bacterial small subunit ribosomal RNA
Source: RNAcentral
CCUACGGGAGACAGCAGUGGGGGAUAUUGCACAAUGGGGGGAACCCUGAUGCAGCGACGCCGCGUGGGUGAAGAAGCGCCUCGGCGCGUAAAGCCCUGUCAGCAGGGAAGAAAAUGACGGUACCUGAAGAAGAAGCCCCGGCUAACUACGUGCCAGCAGCCGCGGUAAUACGUAGGGGGCAAGCGUUAUCCGGAUUUACUGGGUGGAAAGGGGGCGCAGACGGCGAUGCAAGCCAGGAGUGAAAGCCCGGGGCCCAACCCCGGGACUGCUCUUGGAACUGCGUGGCUGGAGUGCAGGAGGGGCAGGCGGAAUUCCUGGUGUAGCGGGGAAAUGCGUAGAUAUCAGGAGGAACACCGGUGGCGAAGGCGGCCUGCUGGACUGCAACUGACGUUGAGGCCCGAAAGCGUGGGGAGCAAACAGGAUUAGAUACCCUAGUAGUC